CCCAAGCCGCAGGCACAGCGACUGGCCGGCGCGAAACGACCGACGCCCGCAUUAUUAACUCAUGUGAAGGUAGUGGCGUUUAGGCGAGGGGGAAAUUUAUCUGAUCAGCGUGUAGGAGAUGGAGUAGAGGGAGGGGGAGGGGGGAAGAGAGAGAGACUGCUGAGCGAUCGAUCGAGGAGGCCGGGUUGCCUUCGAUCGCUAGCGGUAUCGGAGACGCUGACGGUCGUGGGCGUGAGCUUGUCAACUCAGGAAGAAGAAGAAGGAGGAGGAGGAGAAGAAGAAGAAGGAGGACACAAAAGCAAAUCCUGACAUGGACGCCAAACGAAAGCGGCAGCCCUAAUCCACCUCUUCGAGCACGAAUGAGCGGCCUGCAGAGUCAAACAAAGGCGCUAGAAAGUUCCGGAGGGCAGGAUGAAAUGGGAAAAUUAUGACGGCGCCAACUCCGAUUUAUAGUCUAGCCUACUACGUAACGGGCGGAUGCGUGGUCGUGGCGGCAUCACCAAAAGGCUGCUGCUGGGUGUCUUAUCAUGGCAUGAUGACGGAAAAGUAAACUCUUCGCUCCGCGGUUUUCAUACGGUUAACCCGGCGCGUAAUGCGGUUCAACGUGCGGGAACAAGACUGCAGCUAACCGGGGGAAUGCACGAUGCUGGGGUCGAGCAACGCCUCCCCUAUUCACAAACGAACGAACGAGGGGAAGCAGUGAGGGUGAGAAGCGAAUGACGACGAAACCAAGCCGGCACCACGCACGUCUCUUCUUCUUCUUCUUAGUCUUCGUCUUCGUCUUAAUAAUCUCCGCGUUUCCGAACGCACGCCAGAGUUCCUUGGUGCUUUUCCGGCUCUUCUUUUCUCCUAUUUUCCAUCCAUCAACUCAUCAUAAAGUGCGCAGGUACCCAACGCCCGACAGCUGCGGCCUGUUGCUACCGCCGCCGCCGCUCCCGCGCGCCUCCUUUGUCCCCUCGCAGCCGCUACAGCAGCAGAAGCAGGGCCCGGAGGCCCGCGGGUACCCGCACCUGAACAGGGUCCGCGAGCGCCCCGCGGACCUGUUCUCGCGGCACCUCUCCGACAGCCGGGACUCUCGCGCGCAGCAGCUGUACCGUUACGUUCUUAGCCGCCACCGCGACUUCGGGUCCGCUUUCUGGCGGCGUGCCGUGCCUAGUUCGUGACGAUUGGAGGAAGUCCGAGAGCUUCUGAUGGACGGUCAAGACGAUCCUAACCACUUUCUUCCAUCACUCAACUCCGUGUCGCACGUCAAACACACCUGAUUGGUUCUCCUGUUCCGGCUCCUCUGCCGGUACCGCCUACGUACCAUGCUCCACGACAGGCACGACGUAAACUACCGGUACCAGACGAACGACGUCCGGUUGAGGGACGAGGAAGGUUCCCGAAUGCCGCUGCCAAUGCCCGGUGCCCAGAGACUUCUCUCGUCUGCACGUUGACAGCUACAAAAGAACUUUCGUAGACCGAUGAACCUGACGCGUUAAGCUGUUCAUGAGGGUGUCUAUGGUAGUCUUGAUUCCUCUGUUGAAGGUCAUCUGGACCGACUUCCGUUGGAGUUUCGAGAAUCGUACGUUCGAGACCCAGUCCCACAACUGUACGUCGAACCCGAUCGUUAGCUGUCGGGUUUCCGGUGUGAUCGACAUUUUUCCGCGAAUCGAACGCUCUACCACUUUAUAACCGUGGUCCAAGUCCUCUCGUAAGGUCUCGAAGGACACAGACUUCCUACCCCUUUUUUCGUAGACGAUAAACAGUUCACCUUCAUGCAGCUUCGUUUCAGACGUCGUAUGAUGAAGGUACCAAACUAAGAACUGCUUCCUUUGUCACUCUUUAGAGUGCCUUACCGUUAUCGUCGUAACCUUCGAAGUCUCCUUAAAGACUUUCUUUCGUUUUCCCGGAGACGUCGGAAGGUACGUUGAGGAGGUUGUAGAUCCUCGGGGUGAGGUAAACCUUGUCGGUUCAUAGACAAACUGUUCUAGGGCUUUCUCCGAAGUUCGUUCCAGGCCUAGUUGGUCCUAGACAUAUGAGGUCUUUCCCAGUAACCUCGUGGUGGGGGCAACGGUCUAAAGAGUAACCGUGAUUGUGGACUUCUGAUGCUAGAAGGAGGUAAUCUGGGUGAAACCUUGUUUCUUCUACCGGUGGUCAUCACAUAUAAGUCGUAAGUCGUCCUCACAGAAGACUACCCUUCCGAGACCGCGAUGACUCUUUAGUUGCUGGUCCUAAGACGGUACACCUCCGGCUUGUGCCGCGUUUGCGUCACAUGUUUCUAUACUAGGCUGUUUUUUAACUACAGCGGUUUAACCUUCGUUUAAAAUCUUUCCGGACUUCUAUAGACUUCUCGUAAAAAUGUCAAUUUAGAAGAGACUGUUACCCUUGUGUAACAGUUUUCGAAAGGUUGUUAAGGACAUUUUUAAUAUAAAGGUUACUCACGGUACCAAGGAAAAAAGAAUCCUAAAAGACUGGUACCGAAUCAAAACCCCGGUUAGACUCGAAUAAGUACACCAUUUAAAUGGUUUGUGCCAGGUCUAAAAGUAAGUUACGAACUCUGUCUUCGUCGGUCCUGCUUUAAAUUUGAUGAAGUGUGUAUGUCUUCGAGACUUGACAAAUUCAAAACUCUGUCGUUGGUUCCCCCAUUGCCGCGUAUAUGUAAAACAGUAAUCAGAUGAGUUGACUAACCCUUGUGCAACG
This 2682-nucleotide ribosomal RNA is filed under the name Triticum aestivum (bread wheat). RNAcentral's name for it is "partial small subunit ribosomal RNA". The record is from RNAcentral. Lineage: Eukaryota; Viridiplantae; Streptophyta; Magnoliopsida; Poales; Poaceae.